UUUGCCCAUUGAAGAGAGUGGCUUCGCCCAUAAGAAGUGGUUUUGCUCAUGGAGAGUGGCCAUUACAGUCCAUGGAAAGAAAGAGGCUUCGGCUUAAGGUGGAGAAAGGGUAUAAAAUUUAAGAGGAAGUAAUUCUUGUCUAUUGAUGAGAGAGUUAUUGCUUAUGUAGUUGAAAAUGCCCUUUGUGGUGUAAUAGUUGUGGUAUUAAAUAUAUUAGGUUAUUUGUAGAGGAAAAUUGAGAGGGUUAACUAAUAUAUUUACUAUGAGU
This 268-nucleotide unclassified non-coding RNA is filed under the name Hevea brasiliensis (rubber tree). Lineage: Eukaryota; Viridiplantae; Streptophyta; Magnoliopsida; Malpighiales; Euphorbiaceae. The record is from RNAcentral.